UUGGCUUAGAAGCAGCCAUCAUUUAAAGAGUGCGUAAUAGCUCACUAGUCGAGUGACACUGCGCCGAAAAUGUACCGGGGCUAAACAUAUUACCGAAGCUGUGGAUUGUCCUUUGGACAAUGGUAGGAGAGCGUUCUAAGGGCGUUGAAGCAUGAUCGUAAGGACAUGUGGAGCGCUUAGAAGUGAGAAUGCCGGUGUGAGUAGCGAAAGACGGGUGAGAAUCCCGUCCACCGAUUGACUAAGGUUUCCAGAGGAAGGCUCGUCCGCUCUGGGUUAGUCGGGUCCUAAGCUGAGGCCGACAGGCGUAGGCGAUGGAUAACAGGUUGAUAUUCCUGUACCACCUAUAAUCGUUUUAAUCGAUGGGGGGACGCAGUAGGAUAGGCGAAGCGUGCGAUUGGAUUGCACGUCUAAGCAGUAAGGCUGAGUAUUAGGCA
This 434-nucleotide ribosomal RNA is filed under the name Staphylococcus aureus. Its description in RNAcentral is "partial 23S ribosomal RNA". It matches the Rfam family "Bacterial large subunit ribosomal RNA", at positions 1101 to 1538 of the family's 2925-position model. The record is from RNAcentral. Lineage: Bacteria; Bacillati; Bacillota; Bacilli; Caryophanales; Staphylococcaceae.